GACGAACGCUGGCGGCGUGCUUAACACAUGCAAGUCGAACGGAAAGGCCCUGCUUUUGUGGGGUGCUCGAGUGGCGAACGGGUGAGUAACACGUGAGUAACCUGCCCUUGACUUUGGGAUAACUUCAGGAAACUGGGGCUAAUACAGGAUAGGAGCUCCUGCUGCAUGGUGGGGGUUGGAAAGUUUCGGCGGUUGGGGAUGGACUCGCGGCUUAUCAGCUUGUUGGUGGGGUAGGGGCUUACCAAGGCUUUGACGGGUAGCCGGCCUGAGAGGGUGACCGGCCACAUUGGGACUGAGAUACGGCCCAGACUCCUACGGUAGGCAGCAGUGGGGAAUAUUGCCCAAUGGGCGGAAGCCUGAUGCAGCAGCGCCGCGUGCGGGAUGACGGCCUUCUGGUUGUAAACCGCUUUCGCCUGUGACGAAGCGUUAGUGACGGUAAUGGGUAAAGAAGCACCGGCUAACUACGUG
Molecule: ribosomal RNA, 468 nt
Filed under: uncultured bacterium
Lineage: Bacteria
Description: partial 16S ribosomal RNA
Rfam family: Bacterial small subunit ribosomal RNA
Source: RNAcentral